This is a long non-coding RNA of Trichogramma pretiosum, 775 nucleotides long. RefSeq lists it as uncharacterized. NCBI's taxonomy places the organism in Eukaryota, Metazoa, Arthropoda, Insecta, Hymenoptera, Trichogrammatidae. The transcript is spliced from 3 exons. The record is from RefSeq and is a predicted model, not a curated record.
UGAUAAUUUUAUUAUGAAGCGUACGUACGUACGAUGCCGUGAGUAGGCAAGGUUAUGUCAUUGUUCGCUAUGUCACUCGACGAAAAAUGAUCGUCGUCUCUCUCUCUCUCUCUCUAUCGUAUCUCUAUCUCUUGAGAAUUACUCGACGUCACGUUCAUAAUUCUCUCAAGCCGCUAUCCGCAGUUGAUGUUGAAAAUUUACGCGGAUUUGACACUGCGUCAUAGUCGUCGUCCGCGUCGUCGCUUCUGUUUUUGUUUCGUUUAUUAUCGGGGGCAGGAUCGUAUAAUUUUUUUCCAUUCCGCGACGAGGUUUUUUGCCGAUCCGCAGCGCAACCAUGAGAGUUUUGCAGCCGUCGUAAAUACAUUUGUGCUCUCCGUGCAACAAAGAGUUCACGCGAGAAAUGUUUCGUUGUCGUGAAUUAAGAGACACAUAAACCUUGUCACGUCUUUCCGGAGUCGCAAUUUAGGCUGGCAUUUUUGCGGCAGAGAGAUUAUUUUUCGGACAUAUUUACAGGUUCAAAACAAUCGAGCUCGGCCAUCAUAUAUACGGCAACAGCCAAGCCUAUUAUAAAAAUGUAAAGAGAAACUGCGUAAGUAAAGUACCGCGCAUGAGGAUGCGUGCAAGGUGCAGAAAGCCAUCAUACCGAUCGUCCCGAAAAACCAAUUACUCUUUCACCGGCUCGUUCCUUGUAAUGAGGCUUUGAAACAACUGCAUAGAAUUCAACGAGCUGACCUCGGCAGAAGCAGCAGCAGCAGCAUCAUCAUUACCUAUCGGC